Molecule: long non-coding RNA, 6360 nt
Organism: Manis pentadactyla (Chinese pangolin)
Lineage: Eukaryota; Metazoa; Chordata; Mammalia; Pholidota; Manidae
Exons: 2
Source: RefSeq, a predicted model, not a curated record
CUCUGGGAAUAAGAAAAGAAAGACUUUCAGGCUUUCAAGAUGCAUCACCAUGUAUAUUGUAUCUCUUAAUCAUGGUAUUCUAUCUUUAUAACCAACAUCAAACUUUAAUUUGGCACUUCCUAAUGCUCAUAACAAAGAUAAGCUAGUAUACACAUGUACUUUACACUUUUAAAGUCGAAACACUCUUCAAAUAGCUUUUCUAAUUAGUUUUCUCUACUGCCCAUAAUAACUCCAUAGGGGGUAUCAGUUCUAUAGAAGACUUAGAAGGGACAAUCAUUCAUGGAAAGCUUUUAAAGUGUUUACAAAUGCCUUUUCCACAAAAGUUUGUCCUUUAAUUAGAUUUAAAAGUGUAUCUGGUCUGGAGUUUCCAAAGAGUGUUACACAGAAUUCUUCUUUGGCUUAAUUGCCAGAGAAAUGCUCCUUAAAAAAAGGUGUUUUGAUCAUAGAUUUUAGAAAUGCCUCAAAUAAUAUCUGCUUCCUGGAAAUAUCCAAAGUAAGUCUGUACAUUAAAGACUUCGAGAAGUCUUAGAAUAAUAAGGAAACUCUCAUAAUCCAGUGUUUCCCAUACCUGACUAUGUAAUUCUUACUUUCAUUGAACACACAGAUAACACACUUUGGAAGAAGCUAGUUUACAGCGAUUUCUUUUGCAAAAUUGUAACAUUCCAUAAGAAAAGCAUUAGGCAUAUUUAAUCUUAUAUUACUCAAUAUUCAGGAAAAUGAAUGUGACUAAUACAUUAUUGCAGCACAGGCUAGCCAAUGCCAACUAACAUACACCCCUACCUACACAAAGAAAGGAACAGAGAUGAAUGGAUCAUAACCCUCUCUGAAAAGCAAAGAAAAAUGUUUUUCUCCUAUCUUAUACAUCAGAUCUGUGGGCCUAUAUUCCUGAUCCAUGUGUCAAGGAAUGAGAAUCAUUAUCUAAAUGAUAAAAAUGAGUACAAAUAACCAAGUAUUAUGUAGUAGCAAAUACCAGUGUGUUCCAUUUCUAAUUAAGAAAUACGCAAUAUAGAAAAUGCUAAAACUCAUUUAAAACAAGAAAAUGUUACAGCAUUUCAGAUGUAACUAAAAGUAAACUUUUAGUUGUAAUUAAAAGAAAUAUCAGCAGAGAAUUUUAUUUUAAUGAUUUUCCCUAAUAUAUGUAAUGAAUCAUGUAAUGCUUCUUCAAGUGAUUGUGUUUAAAUAGGAAAUGAAGUUUAAAAUUUGAAUUGUUGAAUGGGUUUGCAAAACUCAUUUAACCUGUUAAUUUUGUGAGUGAUAAGUACAUAAUGUGUCAUAAUCCAAAACAGACUCCCACGUGGCAUCCUUGGGACCUCAGCAGCAUAGACUGGGGUGGGGGUGGGGGGGAGAGAAAAUGAAAACAAUGAAGCUGACAGGACUAAGGCUAAGGGAAAUAACAUACCUGCAGAUUUGACUCCCUACAAGCCAGUAGAUAAAAAUUCAAACCAGUAUUCAAAUAAAUGAAGAAAACAGGUCUGACAGAGGCCAGCUGGAGCAGAACAGAUAAGGGUGGCUGGCAAAGAUUUGAUCACAUAAACGGGCCAUGGUAGCAACCAUCUUCAUGUAAAGAAUAGCCUUGAUUUUGACAGAAGAGACUUGUACCUCUAAUUUAGUGAACACCAUUUGGCAAAUAAUUUCCCUCUUAAAAUGCCUGCAUAAUGAUGAAUACAAACUAUUCAAAGAUAUUUUGAUAUGUAGAUAUUUAAUAGGUGUCUGGGCCUGCUUACUACAUAAAUGACUAUAUCCUGAAUGGUAGACUAGUAAGUCAUGGACUUCAAUUCUGUACUUCACAAAGGUAAAAAAUUAUAAUGGAAUUUUGGAGUCUGUCCUAAAUGCCAAGAUUCCACAGUAUUUAAGGUGAGGUUGGUUCCUAACUCAAACAAAAAUGCAACCACCAUUUGGGGAUACAAAGGGAAGAGCCUAAUCCUCUUUAAAAAUAUCUAUCUAAUGAUAAAGAAUACAUCAUAAAGGAGGUAAAAGUGUUCAAGACCACUGGAAUCUUUUUUCAAGUUUUAAUAUUCAAUAGUGUAUAGUGCAUACAACCUUCCCCUCCAUCCUCUCAAUCAUCUUUAAUAGAGCACCUUUUUCUAUAGUCAUCAACGCUUUAACAGGAGACCCUGAGUUUUAGGGAUAGCCCCAGCCCCCUAUCCCAGUGCCUGGUCUCAACUAGCCCAAACCAGUCACGGCGGUUAUAUUCCCCUUGUUCAUGACUGGUUUAGGUAUGAAUAUGCAACAGUAUGGAAUAUUUCUGGUCAGUAAGAUGGGAAGGAGUUUUUUGAAAGCAUUCUAGAACUAUGGAAAGCCAGGAACUAUGAAGUCCAAAUAUACUUGAAAAACAUGCUUUGAUCAUCUGAAUUACCAAAUGUAUUUCUUAUAAAUCACAGUAUCACACCUACCUAUAAAGAAAUAUAUUUAGCAAGGUUUUCAUCUUAGUCUUGAUUUCACAAAUGUAUUUGAACAUGAUUUCUUUUCACAGCAUACUUAUUAAAGUUCUAUAGAUCACCAUUCUGAAGAAAAAGCUAUUCGCUACUUGGAUGGAGUCAUAAUUGAAACUCUACUAAAAAUAUCCAUGUUAAAAAUCCUGUCCAGAAAUGUAUUCACUAUAAAUUCUCUUCCAAAUGAUUUCUAUAGAAGUACUCCAAUUUGCUGCUAUUCUCUCCUAAACCUGCCCAAUCAGGCACAUCCACACCACUGACAGAAACAAGUCUGUGUAAAUUCACCUUCUCAGUGAGGUCUACACUGAACAUCCUGUUGAAAAUUGCAACACACCCUUGACCUGCUGGACUUCUCAAUAUCCCUCCCUUGUGCUACAUUUUUUCUGUAGAGUUUAUCACUUUACAUAGUAAUUUACUUAUUAUGAUGAUUGCCCGUUUCUUUCCACAGAAACAUAAGCACCUGCACCCUUUAUGAAUGAUUAUGGUGAAUAACAAUAAAUUAGAAUGCACAAUAAAUGACCUAGUAUCAAGGAAUAAAAAGAAUUUUACUUCUACCUUUCUAGAUGCUUAGCUGAGAUAUGCCCCUUCCCCAGGCCACUGUAAUAAAACACAGAUUAACAGGAGAAAAACAAAGAGAGGCUUAAUAACAUGUAUGCGUCUUGUAUACAUGAGAGAUACCCAGGAGAACAGAGCAAUUCUCCUAAAAUGCCCAAGCCACCACCUUAAAUACUAUCUCCAAUGAAUGACGAAAGAAGGUAUUGGGCUGGGUGAGAGCCAGUUUGGGGAGGUUUUCAGGCAAAGCAAACAAGCGAGGUUCUUAAGCAGGUUUAAGUCCAAGCCUUCUCCACUGAUAAGGGUUUCUAGAGAUUUAGUCAUCCCCCUCUUCCUUGUACAGAAGGUAACACCCUUACAAAUAUAAAUUUCCUGUAUAAAUAUAAAUCUCUUACAAAAGGGUAACAUCUACUUGGUUUUCAGAGUGUUUCCUGUGCCUACAUUUAAGAAAAUAAUAAUCAGCACAAAAUAACAGUAAGUAGGUGCAUUUUAUGUGUAAGGGGCACAUUUUGGGGAUGACAACUCCUGCUCUUCUUCACUAGGCAGUUCCAUCAUAGGGCAAGGGCUGGAGAGAAGCUGGGGAUUGUAACUCUCAGGAGAAAUAUUUUCCCAGUCCAGGGCAAAUUACCUUUGAAACUGAAGUCAGUCAAAGGGAGAAAUAAAUUGGGAGAAACCUGUUCAUUGCCUUCAAGCAGUCAUCCACUUCUGCUCGCCUGUGUCUCUCAAACCCAGCUGCAAAAGGAGACCUCUCCAGUCUAGAUAAGCCCUCGCUCUCCCCUGUAAUUACCUGUUGAUAAAAGAGAUAGACUACUCUCCACCUCUUGAAAACACCUAUUUAUAUGGAGAUGCACUAAGGCCAGUCCAGAUAUUCUGGAAAUAUAGCAAUUUUACCCACAGGGAUGGAGUUUGAGUAACAAAGUUGAGAUAGAAGAAGAAUCUGAAUUUUGAGAUGAGAGUCUAAGUAAGGCCUGCAUGAUAGGGAACAUAUAUGCUGCUCCAUCUUCCAAUGACUUUGGUUGUAUUUGAUGUUAAGUAUAAAUGAAAUGUGUAUUCAUAUUGCUUCAUCCAGCCUGACAUCAUUGUCACAUGGAAGGAAAUGUGAAGUAAGUAGGUUAAGUAAGACAAGGACCUGUGCCUGAUUUAUUCAUGCAAGAUUAUCUCAGUCUGGUAAUACUAAGAUUUUAAAUUAUCUUCUAGUCUAUGAAAUACAUUGCUUUCUGUCAGGGUUGGGUAUUGGUAUUUCUCUUCCCGGAUACUGGUUUUCCUUAAAUGUCUGAUAUUCCUUGGAUAUCUGUAUGUACUUAUGAAGGACUAUAUCAAACUGCACAGGAGAAAACUUCAGAGAAAAGCAGUUUCCUCAGAAGUUAUGUAUACCUGCAUUAGAUCUCCUUUUUGAUAAGAGCUUUGGUUCUGUCAGUUGUCAGGACAUUUCAACCAGCAGGGCCCUGCAGGUGGUCAUGCAGGUUUAUUGUUCCCUACUGUGAUCACGCAGAAGCUAUUGUUCCGAUGGUAGCUCACAGCCUGCUGGAAUUCGCUAGUCAGGCCUGCCUCUGUCAAUCCCCUCUGGCUGUGCGUGGCAUGUACUCCGCCCAAGUCUUUUCUCCCCAGUUGCCACUAGCGAAACCCACUCUGAGCUCUAUUUCUCUGCUUUCCCGCCUGCUCCAUACCACACACAAGUUUCAAGUAAGGAUGCUGUACUCUGGAAGUGGAGUGCUGCCAUUGCAUACCAGCACUCUCUCCAUCCCCAAGUGAAAAUUGACUUCAUUUUUGCUCUUCCUUUUGAUUGGCACUCCAAUACCCUCACUGGCGAGCCUCCCCAGGGAUAAUCUCUUUGAAAAGUUAUUCUUAGUGCUUGUCCUGAAGAAAAAACAGUUUUGCCAAUACCAGUUUACCUUAAGGGAAGUCAAAAGGGCAGGGGUUCCCAAUGUAUAAAUGAUUGACCUCAGGCAACCUGAAUUCUCAUAAAACUCUCUCAGAAAAGACUUAAAACUCCUAACACAAAACUGCCUACAGUCACCCAUCAAAUCAGGAGUAAAUUACGCCAAUUCUGGAGCACCAAAAGAAUCUCACGCCUACUACUAUGUGCCCCCAAUUUGGGACAUGUUCAAUCCAGAAAACAUGAAAUUAGUUCAAGAAAAAGAUUAAGUCAUUUUUCUUCCCAAAAGGAAAAGAUUGAUUGAUUUCAUGUGCUGAUUUGUAGUGUAGACAUUUCUUAAGUAGUUUUUCAUUUUCUACCUAUAAAAUCUGUACAAUAAAGAAAAAAAUUUAUUUUAAGUUUUAAGUUAUUGAGGAAACUUUAAUGUUGAUUACUGAUCUAAUUUCCAGUUGCUUACAUAUCAAACUACUCACACACACACAUUUAGAUUUAGGUAAUCUAAAUAUCUCUUUUGAUAUUUGGCUUGUAUUUUACAUAAUUAUGAUUGUUUCAUUUUUCCUUGCAAAAAUUAUGCCAAAGAGCCAAAAGGGAGGUUAAAAAAAAACAGUGGCUCAAAUAAAUGUUCAGAAUGGGAAAAACAAGGAAAAGAAUCAGACCAUGGAGAAAAAGGGGAAAGAUGCUAAUAUAAAAAUAAUCCUUAACAUUAAUCCUGAUUUGAAAAUGGCCUUUUUUUCUUCCUCAUUUGUUUCUGUUUGACAAGCUACAGAUAUAGCCUUCAGACCAAAAUUCAAAGUAUUUUCUAAUUAUCAAACAAAAGUUGUAAGUAUAACUUCCAAGAAAUAACUAAGAUAUAUAAAUAAAAUAAAUUCAUUUUUUUCACAAUUUUCAAAUUAAAGAUGAUUAUAACAAAUACAGCUUUAUGCAAAGUCUCUGCUUUUUCCUAGCCAGGCCUAAAGAGGAAAAAACCCAAUGGCAAGAAUACUUGCUCCUAGCAAGCAAAUACACGAAAAUCAUAAUUAAAAAAUCUUCAAGCUACUAAUAUUUAUGAGGGAUGGGGGAUGAUGAGAGAAACUACCAAAUGGCAAUGAAACAGGGUCCUAUUAGGGUUUUCCGAUUAGUCAAAAGUAACUUCUUAAUAUGGUCUAUGAUCAAUUUACACAACCUAUGUCCAGAUUUGUAGAAUAAAUGUUUAACAAUGAAGUGACAACAGAGAACACCACAUAUUGUAAAUAGUGUAUUUUUCUCACUUACACGCAAUGUUGUAUGAGACAUUCACUAGUUUUAAUAUGUAUCCAUAGGAUUAAUACUCGUAGAGUAUAAUGUGGAAAAGUGCAGGACUAAAGAAAUAAGUCUAUCUGGAAAAAAAAGCACAUAUUUCUUAGGAUUUAAAAAUAUUGCACAUAAUAAGGUUGCACAGAAAUUACUGGCUGUUUUUACAAACAGAAUGAGGUAUUAGUCAAUCUCUAAAGAUGAGUGCAAAGAGGAGAAACCACAUAUAAU